Molecule: non-coding RNA, 3448 nt
Organism: Nothobranchius furzeri (turquoise killifish)
Lineage: Eukaryota; Metazoa; Chordata; Actinopteri; Cyprinodontiformes; Nothobranchiidae
Source: RefSeq, a predicted model, not a curated record
AUACCAGGAAGUCACCAUAAUAUAUAGAAAGAGUCAAACAGAAAUCAAGUUCAUUUAAAAACCUGCAUCUCACAGGGCAGCUUUCAGUUUGCGAGGGAAUUUCUAAAUCCUCUCGAAAUGUUUGGGAGGAUUCUUAAUUCCUUCGUCUCACUGCAGCAGAGCGGGAGCUGCAUGUUUAUUUUAAACACUAAUGUCUGAAAGGGUUUACAGAAUCGUCUCGGUUUAGUGUCCGUGGGUCAGAAAAUGCUAGAAAUUUGAGAUGAUUUUGGGAGGACUUUGAGACCAAGUUGAAAUCAGGUUAAGACAAAAUAACGACACGUUGUGACUACAUUACAACAUUGCACCACAGGAACAGAGCAGAGCUAAAACACUUUGAUUCCCCUCUAAAUGACACUUGAGCAAGUCUCCAACCAUCAAGGAGAUGCCGACCAGACGCUCACAGCAUCAUGAGGGCCUGAAAAGCUCAAACUUAUUCUGUAUUUAUUCAAAACUCUGAUGCAGGUUUACAUUUGGGUGUAACUUUGUGGGAAAUUCCCUUUUUUUUAACCGUGUCCUGUCUGGCUGUGAAGCAAGCAGAAUUGAUGUCUGAAUGCUGGUAACAAGCCUUACAGACUUACUCUCAGGUGGAGCAUCAAAGUGUCUGCUUUUAAUGUCACGCCUGACAUUCACCUCUUUUUCACCUCUGUCUCCCUGUCUGGUUGGAAUUACAAAGCAUUCAAAAACAAUAACAAUAAAAUUUGAAGUAUCAGGUGGAAAUUCCCAUUUUUAAGAAUAAUUAAUGUUGGAAAAAACACCCAUUUUGCUCUUUUCUCAGUCAGAAUCACGAGGAUCGGGAUAUCGGAUAUCUUAUUAGGGGGAGAAGAACACUUGCUUUUUGUUUUCUGAAGCUUUGUGAAGAAUCAGAGCCUGAAGUGGCGGUUCUGGGUCACAUCCUGAUGAGCAAGAGGAGUCGCUGCAAAAGUUCUGAUUUGGGUUUGUCCACAGAAGAAUUUGGGAUGAUCAAGAGUUCUAGAUGUUGUUUAGGGAUCUUUAGUUCUUCAUCUUCAUUUAUGUAGAAAAAGACCAGAUGUGUUGUUUUUGAGAUCUUUUUGCGUGCUUCCUCUUGUCAUGCAGGUUCAAUUCAAGUGAUUUACAGGUGUGGCCGUGAUCAGGUGUGGCAGUGACCAGGUGUGGUAGAGAUCAAGCAUGUUGUUAACCAGGUAUUUUAUUGAUCAGGUGCGGUAGAGGUCAGAUGUGGUAGUGAUCAGGUGCGGUACCAAUCUGGUGGUAGUGGCUGGUGGAGCUGAGCUCAACUUUAUAAAUAAUCUUGUUAAUUCAUAUUUUAACAACAUGGAAAUUAAUUUGCUGACCUGAAACAAAUGAAAGUGAGUAAAUCUGCGAGGGCGUAAAUGGUUUUUUGCAUCCUGCUUCUCGUUGCAGAAGGCAGCUUAACAGAGAGCAAAGCUGUGAAUUAAAAGGAAAACACAUUUCAAAUGUAAACUCGUGAUUUGGUGAAUCUACCAAAGCUCCACCCUGGUUUGUGGACGCUGGUGUUCCUCUCGGUUGUGUUGAUGUUGGUGUGGUCGGGCCUGAGCACGCUCCGGGCUGCUUCCCUGCUAAAUGAGGGUUUGGCGCGUGUGCUCAGCCACCACCUGCUUCUCUAACAAUCGUGCUGAAAACAAAAAGCCUUGGCAGCAGAUCAGAACAGGAACCACAGAACAAUGGAGCGGGUCUGAAGCACGUCUUGUUAUCGGACCUCAUCUUGGAAGUCCCGGUGAAAAUCAUCUCCAGAUGUCCGCUGCUUUCACCUUAGCCAUGUCUUUUAUCUGUUGCUGCGCUGUGAGCUGUUCAGGUUUCAGUUCGGAUGAACUGGAUCAGUCGGGGCGAGAGACGGCUCCCAGAGGACUCUGACUAUUUCAGAUGUCACCUCCGGACAAAGAGAGGAGUAACGGAGCCGUCUCCUCUGACCAACCAGAGGAGGUCGCGGGUCGGAGUGUUUGGACAAGCUGGAUAUGAAACCAGUACGCAUCAGUUCAGCUUGAAAUUGAAACUUUUUAAUUAAAGUUUAGAAUCAACAUGAUAAAAUAAUCAAGAUGACCAAAACCUUUCUGCACGUUUUUCUGCUUAAUAAACACUAUUUGGUUAUCAAACCUUUGUUUGUGUUGCAAACACAAAUAAAGGUUUAUACAUUUAAACGCAUUUAAAUGAAUCUGAGUAAUGAGGGUAUUUUAUGUAAGAAAACAAAACAAAAAACAUCUAUAAUCGUGCUGCAAAAGGCACGCAGUAACAGAAAAUGUUUUUUCAAAAAGAAUAAAAUCGGUUUGUGUGAAUUUUUAUUUGUGAGAAAUUUGAGAAAUCAUCAGAUUUUCUUUAGACUUCAGUUCUUAACGUUUCUGAUAGUUGUAGUCCCCAGCCUGACCACUAGAUGGCACUAACAGUUUCAAACUGGUCCUUUAAACCAACACAGAAUUUUUGGUGGCUCUUAUUUAGUUUUUAUUACCAAAAAAGCAUCAAGAUUCCUGUCGAAACCGUUUUUCUAAUAGGUCCAGAUAAAAAUAAACUGAAAACAAUCUUGAUGCCCUCUGUUUGUCAAUGUUUAAUUCAAUUAAAAUAAUGUAUUUUUAUGUGAAAUCUCAAAACAGAUCAUAUAUGAUCUUCUCUUUUUUUAUGUCAUAAAUGAUCAUUACGCUCAGACGUGGUUGAGUCAAAUAAAAUGAAACUUUCAGCAGUAAAACAACUAAAAUGCACAACAGGAUAUAAAUGAAUGAGUCAAAUCUUAGGAGGAACCUGAUUAGCUUGUUUCCCACUACGGCAUUUUAAUCAUGAACAGCUUUAAUUUGGACUCAGAUCUGAUUGUUUGGAUUAAACAAGAUUUUGUGUUGUUUUUAUUUACUUUUGUUGACUGAGCCGCUGUUUUCCUGCCCUGUUUACUAGAGCUGUGGUUUAUAAUCUGGGAGUUGGAUUAUAACCUGGGCUUGUGGGCGCUGAAGCUGUUUCUCUGAAGCUUUGCUCUGCUUUGACAGGAAUGAUAUUUGACAGAAAAUCAAAGUGUUUCAGAGGCGGAUGGGCUGAAUGAGCAGCUGACCCGUUCAGCCCAAACCCAUGCGUGUGGGCGGCUCAGCCUGACAUGUGUGCAGACGCUUCCCGAAUCCGUGGAAGCAGCGAGAAGAGGAGGAAGCCUGGGUCCUGCCGGCAGGGAAUCAGGACACCAUCCACUGACCCACUUCUCUUCUGUUACAGAUCCUGUUAACAUGUCAGCGUGCACGUCCUCGUGCACUGUAGCUGCCACACGCUGCUCCUCAUCCUCUUUCAGUCAUCCAUCCUCACGUCAUCAUGUCACGUGUAUUCAUGUGCAACACGGAAUAAUUCAUGUACUCAUCUAAACAUCUCACUUUUAUGAUUUUGAUCACCAUAAUUGAACAAUUUUUAUCUACACAGGAAAUCAUGCAGAGGACGGUUUUGGUCACAA